AAGUCAUUAGGAUAAAUAAUCUUUCAUCUUGUCAUGAUGAAGAUCUCCAGAAAUAGGAGAUGUCUUU
Molecule: transfer RNA, 67 nt
Filed under: Polycarpa mytiligera
Lineage: Eukaryota; Metazoa; Chordata; Ascidiacea; Stolidobranchia; Styelidae
Description: tranfer RNA-Asp
Source: RNAcentral